Molecule: transfer RNA, 77 nt
Filed under: Dehalococcoidia bacterium
Lineage: Bacteria; Bacillati; Chloroflexota; Dehalococcoidia
Description: tRNA-Val
Rfam family: tRNA
About the family: Transfer RNA (tRNA) molecules are approximately 80 nucleotides in length. Their secondary structure includes four short double-helical elements and three loops (D, anti-codon, and T loops).
Source: RNAcentral
GGGCGGUUAGCUCAGUUGGCUAGAGCGCCUGUCUUACAAACAGGAAGUCAUAGGUUCAAGUCCUAUACCGCCCACCA